GGGGGUAUAGCUCAGUUGGGAGAGCACCUGCCUUGCAAGCAGGGGGUCACGAGUUCGAAUCUCGUUAUCUCCACGA
This 76-nucleotide transfer RNA is filed under the name Coprococcus eutactus. RNAcentral's name for it is "tRNA-Ala". It matches the Rfam family "tRNA". Rfam says of the family: Transfer RNA (tRNA) molecules are approximately 80 nucleotides in length. Lineage: Bacteria; Bacillati; Bacillota; Clostridia; Lachnospirales; Lachnospiraceae. The record is from RNAcentral. RNAcentral also lists the same sequence under 10 other names.